AUUUAAGGGGUGAGGUUGAGUUUAUAAAAUAAAUUACAUGAUUAUUAAAUAUUUAUAAAUGAUUUAAGAGGGUUAGUUUAAUAUUUUCAUCACAAACAUAAAGUAUUUAGGAAAAUGAUUAUCCUGAAAAAAGUACAUUUAAAAAGUAGUAGUAUCAGAUUUAUGGUAAAAUUUGGAUUUCUCACAUUUCACAAUAGCUAAUGCGUUUUAAGUAUGUUGAGGGAAAUUGUUUUGAUAUGUUUUGUUUAUCUUAAAUUAGUUUUGUUUUUACUUUAAAAUUAUAUUAAAUAUAUACUCUUUUUAUAUCAUUAUCUUUAGAGUACGCAAAUAAAAAGUUACUAACUACUAAUUAUAUUUCUCUUGUGUUAAAAUGAUAUAGAUGAUUCAAAAAUAUAAAUGUUCAAAAGAUGUAAAAUAUUUGAAUGAAUUUUUAAACAAAAGCGGAUGU
RNAcentral lists this long non-coding RNA (448 nucleotides) under Brassica napus (rape). RNAcentral's name for it is "long non-coding RNA (BNAP_LNC026100)". Lineage: Eukaryota; Viridiplantae; Streptophyta; Magnoliopsida; Brassicales; Brassicaceae. The record is from RNAcentral.